AGAGUUUGAUCCUGGCUCAGGAUGAACGCUGGCGGCGUGCCUAAUACAUGCAAGUCGAACGCACAGCGAAAGGUGCUUGCACCUUUCAAGUGAGUGGCGAACGGGUGAGUAACACGUGGAUAACCUACCUCAAGGUUGGGGAUAACAUUUGGAAACAGAUGCUAAUACCGAAUAAAACUUCGUAUCGCAUGAUACAAGGUUAAAAGGCGCUACGGCGUCACCUAGAGAUGGAUCCGCGGUGCAUUAGUUAGUUGGUGGGGUAAAGGCCUACCAAGACAAUGAUGCAUAGCCGAGUUGAGAGACUGAUCGGCCACAUUGGGACUGAGACACGGCCCAAACUCCUACGGGAGGCUGCAGUAGGGAAUCUUCCACAAUGGGCGAAAGCCUGAUGGAGCAACGCCGCGUGUGUGAUGAAGGCUUUCGGGUCGUAAAGCACUGUUGUAUGGGAAGAACAGCUAGAGUAGGGAAUGACUUUAGUUUGACGGUACCAUACCAGAAAGGGACGGCUAAAUACGUGCCAGCAGCCGCGGUAAUACGUAUGUCCCGAGCGUUAUCCGGAUUUAUUGGGCGUAAAGCGAGCGCAGACGGUUGAUUAAGUCUGAUGUGAAAGCCCGGAGCUCAACUCCGGAAAGGCAUUGGAAACUGGUCAACUUGAGUGCAGUAGAGGUAAGUGGAACUCCAUGUGUAGCGGUGGAAUGCGUAGAUAUAUGGAAGAACACCAGCGGCGAAGGCGGCUUACUGGACUGUAACUGACGUUGAGGCUCGAAAGUGUGGGUAGCAAACAGGAUUAGAUACCCUGGUAGUCCACACCGUAAACGAUGAACACCAGGUGUUAGGAAGGUUCCGCCCUCUAAUUGCCGAA
RNAcentral lists this ribosomal RNA (862 nucleotides) under uncultured bacterium. RNAcentral's name for it is "bacterial SSU rRNA". It matches the Rfam family "Bacterial small subunit ribosomal RNA", at positions 8 to 850 of the family's 1533-position model. The record is from RNAcentral.